RNAcentral lists this RNase P RNA (338 nucleotides) under Eggerthella sp. RNAcentral's name for it is "RNase P RNA component class A". It matches the Rfam family "Bacterial RNase P class A". From Rfam's summary of the family: Ribonuclease P (RNase P) is a ubiquitous endoribonuclease, found in archaea, bacteria and eukarya as well as chloroplasts and mitochondria. Its best characterised activity is the generation of mature 5'-ends of tRNAs by cleaving the 5'-leader elements of precursor-tRNAs. Cellular RNase Ps are ribonucleoproteins. Lineage: Bacteria; Bacillati; Actinomycetota; Coriobacteriia; Eggerthellales; Eggerthellaceae. The record is from RNAcentral.
CGAGUGAGCCGGGCAAUCGCGUGCGCAAGCAUGAGGAAAGUCCGGGCUCCCAAGGGCAAGAUGCCAGCUAACGGCUGGGCGGGGCGACCCGACGGACAGUGCCACAGAAAAGAAGACUCCCCUGCGUGCAGGAGAAAAGCUGAAACGGUGCGGUAAAAGCGCACCAGUGCGUUGGCAACAACGUAGCUUGGUAAACCCCAUCUGGAGCAAGCGCAAAUAGGAAUGCCAUACGGCCGCCCUUCCGUGCAUUCGGGUUGCGUGCUUGAGCUUUGCGGCGACGCAAAGUCGAGAUAAAUGGUUGCCGAUUACAGAACCCGGCUUAUAGGCUCACUCGCAUU